AGUGAACGCUGGCGGUAGGCCUAACACAUGCAAGUCGAACGGCAGCACAGUAAGAGCUUGCUCUUACGGGUGGCGAGUGGCGGACGGGUGAGGAAUACAUCGGAAUCUACUUUUUCGUGGGGGAUAACGUAGGGAAACUUACGCUAAUACCGCAUACGACCUACGGGUGAAAGCAGGGGAUCUUCGGACCUUGCGCGAUUGAAUGAGCCGAUGUCGGAUUAGCUAGUUGGCGGGGUAAAGGCCCACCAAGGCGACGAUCCGUAGCUGGUCUGAGAGGAUGAUCAGCCACACUGGAACUGAGACACGGUCCAGACGCCUACGGGAGGCAGCAGUGGGGAAUAUUGGACAAUGGGCGCAAGCCUGAUCCAGCCAUACCGCGUGGGUGGAGAAGGCCUUCGGGUUGUAAAGCCCUUUUGUUGGGAAAGAAAAGCAGCAGGUUAAUACCCCGCUGUUCUGACGGUACCCAAAGAAGAAGCACCGGCUAACUUCGU
This 491-nucleotide ribosomal RNA is filed under the name uncultured bacterium. Its description in RNAcentral is "partial 16S ribosomal RNA". It matches the Rfam family "Bacterial small subunit ribosomal RNA", at positions 29 to 506 of the family's 1533-position model. The record is from RNAcentral.